This 1268-nucleotide ribosomal RNA is filed under the name uncultured organism. RNAcentral's name for it is "SSU rRNA". It matches the Rfam family "Bacterial small subunit ribosomal RNA", at positions 202 to 1478 of the family's 1533-position model. The record is from RNAcentral.
AGUCCCACCUUCGGCGGUUGGGGAUGGACUCGCGGCUUAUCAUCUUGUUGGUGGGGUAGUGGCUUACCAAGGCUUUGACGGGUAGCCGGCCUGAGAGGGUGACCGGCCACAUUGGGACUGAGAUACGGCCCAGACUCCUACGGGAGGCAGCAGUGGGGAAUAUUGCACAAUGGGCGGAAGCCUGAUGCAGCAACGCCGCGUGCGGGAUGACGGCCUUCGGGUUGUAAACCGCUUUCGCCUGUGACGAAGCGUGAGUGACGGUAAUGGGUAAAGAAGCACCGGCUAACUACGUGCCACCAGCCGCGGUGAUACGUAGGGUGCGAGCGUUGUCCGGAUUUAUUGGGCGUAAGGGGCUCGUAGGUGGUUGAUCGCGUCGGAAGUGUAAUCUUGGGGCUUAACCCUGAGCGUGCUUUCGAUACGGGUUGACUUGAGGAAGGUAGGGGAGAAUGGAAUUCCUGGUGGAGCGGUGGAAUGCGCAGAUAUCAGGAGGAACACCAGUGGCGAAGGCGGUUCUCUGGGCCUUUCCUGACGCUGAGGAGCGAAAGCGUGGGGAGCGAACAGGCUUAGAUACCCUGGUAGUCCACGCUGUAAACGGUGGGUACUAGGUGUGGGGUCCAUUCCACGGGUUCCGUGCCGUAGCUAACGCUUUAAGUACCCCGCCUGGGGAGUACGGCCGCAAGGCUAAAACUCAAAGGAAUUGACGGGGCCCCGCACAAGCGGCGGAGCAUGCGGAUUAAUUCGAUGCAACGCGUAGAACCUUACCUGGGUUUGACAUGGAUCGGGAGUGCUCAGAGAUGGGUGUGCCUCUUUUGGGGUCGGUUCACAGGUGGUGCAUGGCUGUCGUCAGCUCGUGUCGUGAGAUGUUGGGUUAAGUCCCGCAACGAGCGCAACCCUUGUUCACUGUUGCCAGCACGUUAUGGUGGGGACUCAGUGGAGACCGCCGGGGUCGACUCGGAGGAAGGUGGGGAUGACGUCAAGUCAUCAUGCCCCUUAUGUCCAGGGCUUCACGCAUGCUACAAUGGCUGGUACAGAGAGUGGCGAGCCUGUGAGGGUGAGCGAAUCUCGGAAAGCCGGUCUCAGUUCGGAUUGGGGUCUGCAACUCGACCUCAUGAAGUCGGAGUCGCUAGUAAUCGCAGAUCAGCAACGCUGCGGUGAAUACGUUCCCGGGGCUUGUACACACCGCCCGUCAAGUCAUGAAAGUUGGUAACACCCGAAGCCGGUGGCCUAACCGUUGUGGGGGAGCCGUCGAAGGUGGGACUGGUGAUUAG